Molecule: ribosomal RNA, 402 nt
Filed under: uncultured bacterium
Lineage: Bacteria
Description: bacterial SSU rRNA
Rfam family: Bacterial small subunit ribosomal RNA
Source: RNAcentral
UGGGGAAUCUUGCACAAUGGGGGAAACCCUGAUGCAGCGACGCCGCGUGAACGAUGAAGCCCUCCGGGGUGUAAAGUUCUUUCGACAGGAACGAUAAUGACGGUACCUGGAGAAGAAGCUGCGGCUAACUACGUGCCAGCAGCCGCGGUAAUACGUAGGCAGCGAGCGUUGUUCGGAGUUACUGGGCGUAAAGAGUGCGUAGGCGGCGAGCCAAGUUUGGUGUGAAAUCUCCCGGCUUAACCGGGAGGGUGCGCCGAAAACUGGUUGGCUGGAGUAUGGGAGAGUAAAGCGGAAUUCCUGGUGUAUCGGUGAAAUGCGUAGAUAUCAGGAGGAACACCUGCGGUGUAGACAGCUUUCUGGACCAAAACUGACGCUGAGGCACGAAAGCGUGGGUAGCAAACA